RNAcentral lists this ribosomal RNA (108 nucleotides) under Myotis lucifugus (little brown bat). Lineage: Eukaryota; Metazoa; Chordata; Mammalia; Chiroptera; Vespertilionidae. The record is from RNAcentral.
GUCUAUGGCCAUACCACUCUGAACAUACCCGAUCUCAUCUCAUCUCAGAAGCUAAGCAGGGUUAGGCCUGGUUAGUAUUUGGAUGGCAGAAGACAUCAGUCACACAUU